Molecule: transfer RNA, 70 nt
Filed under: Yunnanites coriacea
Lineage: Eukaryota; Metazoa; Arthropoda; Insecta; Orthoptera; Pyrgomorphidae
Description: tRNA-Ser
Rfam family: tRNA
About the family: Transfer RNA (tRNA) molecules are approximately 80 nucleotides in length. Their secondary structure includes four short double-helical elements and three loops (D, anti-codon, and T loops).
Source: RNAcentral
AGUUGAUUAACUAAUUGAAAGGUAUAUGUUUUGAAAACAUAAUUAAGAAGUUCAAAUCUUCUAUUAACUU